AUAAAGACAUUGCACAGGAAUUUUAAUUAUUAGAUAUUUCACAGAAAACUUAGGGUAGUGAGACUAAGUAAUAUCAUAAUUAAAUCGUACCUGGAAGUUGUUUUUCGAAUCGAGUAGAAAAAUCGUUGGUGACGUUACCACUUGAGUUUAAAACUCACUGAGCUAGUAUUUGUGAAAAUACUAGGAACAGAGGUGGCACCGCGAUUAAUUCGUCCUCUUG
Molecule: non-coding RNA, 220 nt
Filed under: Apilactobacillus ozensis
Lineage: Bacteria; Bacillati; Bacillota; Bacilli; Lactobacillales; Lactobacillaceae
Description: Lactobacillus ozensis T-box sequence
Rfam family: T-box leader
About the family: Uncharged tRNA acts as the effector for transcription antitermination of genes in the T-box leader family. T-boxes are found upstream of many aminoacyl-tRNA synthetase genes and some amino acid biosynthetic genes usually in Gram-positive bacteria.
Source: RNAcentral